Long non-coding RNA from Hibiscus syriacus, 476 nucleotides. RefSeq lists it as uncharacterized. The record is from RefSeq and is a predicted model, not a curated record. Lineage: Eukaryota; Viridiplantae; Streptophyta; Magnoliopsida; Malvales; Malvaceae. The transcript is spliced from 2 exons.
AAACACCAAUUUAGAUAUAGCUAUGUGCUUAGCCAAGUUUUUUAAUUUUUACUGCUAGUUAAUUUGAAUUUCUCAAGAGCUAGCAAUGGCAUCAAUGAAGGCUGAAAAGCCUGUUGGCACUCAACUCUUUGGGCAGGUCAAGAAGGAAGCUUCAACUUCAAAGGUCACCGCUGCUUCCAAGCCUGCCGCCAAAAAGGCUACUCAAAAGCCUCUGGAACCCAAAAAGCCCGCCGCUAAGAAGGGAAAAGGUGGGAAAGCAGCGACCAAGCAGUAGAUGCCAGUCCCAAUGCAAGAGCAGAUUUUUAGGGCUUAAGAUACUAAAUAUAUAAGCUUAUAUAAUAUAUAUAUAUGUGUGUGUUUGUGUUAUGAUCAGGGAAACUUAACUAAUUAGGGUUUUCUUGUAAGUUGUUUCGAUAAAGAUAUUGUACUGAUUAAAUAAGACACCAUAUAUAUAUCAUUACAAGGGUAUUAUACCA